GCAAGUCGAACGAAACUUCUUUAUCACCGAGUGCUUGCACUCACCGAUAAAGAGUUGAGUGGCGAACGGGUGAGUAACACGUGGGCAACCUGCCCAAAAGAGGGGGAUAACACUUGGAAACAGGUGCUAAUACCGCAUAACCAUAGUUACCGCACGGUAACUAUGUAAAAGGUGGCUAUGCUACCGCUUUUGGAUGGGCCCGCGGCGCAUUAGCUAGUUGGUGGGGUAAAGGCUUACCAAGGCAAUGAUGCGUAGCCGAACUGAGAGGUUGAUCGGCCACAUUGGGACUGAGACACGGCCCAAACUCCUACGGGAGGCAGCAGUAGGGAAUCUUCCACAAUGGGCGAAAGCCUGAUGGAGCAACGCCGCGUGGGUGAAGAAGGUCUUCGGAUCGUAAAACCCUGUUGUUAGAGAAGAAAGUGCGUGAGAGUAACUGUUCACGUUUCGACGGUAUCUAACCAGAAAGCCACGGCUAACUACGUGCCAGCAGCCGCGGUAAUACGUAGGUGGCAAGCGUUAUCCGGAUUUAUUGGGCGUAAAGGGAACGCAGGCGGUCUUUUAAGUCUGAUGUGAAAGCCUUCGGCUUAACCGGAGUAGUGCAUUGGAAACUGGGAGACUUGAGUGCAGAAGAGGAGAGUGGAACUCCAUGUGUAGCGGUGAAAUGCGUAGAUAUAUGGAAGAACACCAGUGGCGAAAGCGGCU
RNAcentral lists this ribosomal RNA (702 nucleotides) under uncultured Lactobacillus sp. RNAcentral describes it as "bacterial SSU rRNA". It matches the Rfam family "Bacterial small subunit ribosomal RNA", at positions 57 to 726 of the family's 1533-position model. The record is from RNAcentral. Lineage: Bacteria; Bacillati; Bacillota; Bacilli; Lactobacillales; Lactobacillaceae.